RNAcentral lists this transfer RNA (72 nucleotides) under Camelus bactrianus (Bactrian camel). It matches the Rfam family "tRNA". From Rfam's summary of the family: Transfer RNA (tRNA) molecules are approximately 80 nucleotides in length. Lineage: Eukaryota; Metazoa; Chordata; Mammalia; Artiodactyla; Camelidae. The record is from Rfam by way of RNAcentral. RNAcentral also lists the same sequence under 2 other names.
AGGGGUGUAGCUCAGUGGUAGAGCGCAUGCUUAGCAUACACAAGGUUCUAGGUUCAAUCCCCAGUACCUCCA